Molecule: ribosomal RNA, 404 nt
Filed under: uncultured eukaryote
Lineage: Eukaryota
Description: SSU rRNA
Rfam family: Eukaryotic small subunit ribosomal RNA
Source: RNAcentral
CCAGCAGCUGCGGUAAUUCCAGCUCUAAUAGCGUAUAUUAAAGUUGUUGCAGUUAAAAAGCUCGUAGUCGGAUGUCGGGCUCGGGCGGGCCGUUGGCCUCUGGUCAAUGCGCCUUCUCGGGUCUUUCUGCCUGAGGAAUCCACUUUCCUUCACGGGGCGGUGGGGGAUGCAGGCCGUUUACUUUGAAAAAAUUAGAGUGUUCAAAGCAGGCCUACGCUUGAAUACAUUAGCAUGGAAUAAUGGAAUAGGACUUUGGUGCUAUUUUGUUGGUUUAUAGGACCGAAGUAAUGAUUAACAGGGACAGUUGGGGCCGUUUAUAUUUCGUUGUCAGAGGUGAAAUUCUUGGAUUUACGAAAGAUAAACUUCUGCGAAAGCAUUCGGCAAGGAUGUUUUCAUUGAUCAAG